AUUGAACGCUGGCGGCAGGCCUAACACAUGCAAGUCGAACGGUAGCACAGAGAGCUUGCUCUCGGGUGACGAGUGGCGGACGGGUGAGUAAUGUCUGGGAAACUGCCUGAUGGAGGGGGAUAACUACUGGAAACGGUAGCUAAUACCGCAUAACGUCGCAAGACCAAAGAGGGGGACCUUCGGGCCUCUUGCCAUCAGAUGCGCCCAGAUGGGAUUAGCUAGUAGGUGGGGUAACGGCUCACCUAGGCGACGAUCCCUAGCUGGUCUGAGAGGAUGACCAGCCACACUGGAACUGAGACACGGUCCAGACUCCUACGGGAGGCAGCAGUGGGGAAUAUUGCACAAUGGGCGCAAGCCUGAUGCAGCCAUGCCGCGUGUAUGAAGAAGGCCUUCGGGUUGUAAAGUACUUUCAGCGGGGAGGAAGGUGUUGUGGUUAAUAACCGCAGCAAUUGACGUUACCCGCAGAAGAAGCACCGGCUAACUCCGUGCCAGCCGCCGCCGUAA
RNAcentral lists this ribosomal RNA (504 nucleotides) under uncultured bacterium. RNAcentral's name for it is "partial 16S ribosomal RNA". It matches the Rfam family "Bacterial small subunit ribosomal RNA", at positions 30 to 523 of the family's 1533-position model. The record is from RNAcentral.